AUACGACCGUACCGCAAACCGACACUGGUGCGCGAGAUGAGUAUUCUAAGGCGCUUGAGAGAACUCAGGAGAAGGAACUCGGCAAAUUGACACCGUAACUUCGGAAGAAGGUGUGCCCUAUUAGUGUGUAGUGAACAACGAAGCAUGAAUGGGUUGCAAAAAAUCGGUGGCUGCGACUGUUUAUUAAAAACACAGCACUCUGCAAACACGAAAGUGGACGUAUAGGGUGUGACGCCUGCCCGGUGCUGGAAGAUUAAAUGAUGGGGUGCAAGCUCUUGAUUGAAGUCCCAGUAAACGGCGGCCGUAACUAUAACGGUCCUAAGGUAGCGAAAUUCCUUGUCGGGUAAGUUCCGACCUGCACGAAUGGCGUAACGAUGGCCACACUGUCUCCUCCUGAGACUCAGCGAAGUUGAAAUGUUUGUGAUGAUGCAAUCUCCCCGCGGAAAGACGGAAAGACCCCAUGAACCUUUACUGUAGCUUUGUAUUGGACUUUGAACAGAUCUGUGUAGGAUAGGUGGGAGGCUUUGAAGCAGGGUCGCUAGAUCUUGUGGAGCCAACGUUGAAAUACCACCCUGGUGUGUUUGAGGUUCUAACCUAGGUCCAUUAUCUGGAUCGGGGACAGUGCAUGGUAGGCAGUUUGACUGGGGCGGUCUCCUCCCAAAGCGUAACGGAGGAGUUCGAAGGUACGCUAGUUACGGUCGGACAUCGUGACGAUAGUGCAAUGGCAUAAGCGUGCUUAACUGCGAGACUGACAAGUCGAGCAGAUUCGAAAGCAGGACAUAGUGAUCCGGUGGUUCUGUAUGGAAGGGCCAUCGCUCAACGGAUAAAAGGUACUCUGGGGAUAACAGGCUGAUACCGCCCAAGAGUUCAUAUCGACGGCGGUGUUUGGCACCUCGAUGUCGGCUCAUCUCAUCCUGGGGCUGUAGCCGGUCCCAAGGGUAUGGCUGUUCGCCAUUUAAAGAGGUACGUGAGCUGGGUUUAAAACGUCGUGAGACAGUUUGGUCCCUAUCUUCCGUGGGCGCUGCAGAUUUGAGGAAGCCUGCUCCUAGUACGAGAGGACCGGAGUGGACACACCUCUGGUGUAUCGGUUGUCACGCCAGUGGCAUUGCCGAGUAGCUAAGUGUGGAAGAGAUAACCGCUGAAAGCAUCUAAGCGGGAAACUCGUUUCAAGAUGAGAUCUGCCGGGGCCUUGAGCCCCCUAAAGAGUCGUUCAAGACCAGGACGUUGAUAGGUCAGGUGUGGAAGC
Molecule: ribosomal RNA, 1246 nt
Filed under: metagenome
Description: bacterial LSU rRNA
Rfam family: Bacterial large subunit ribosomal RNA
Source: RNAcentral